CCAUUCUACUGAAAUCUUUCUGGGCACGCUGGAUUUGGAAUGAACACAAAAAUGCAUCCUUCUUCUGGGACAGUCAGCUCGGAGUACACUGGGAUUCCCUAGUAGCAUUUCUCCCUGACCUGCAGAAUCUUACGACAAUUAAGGUGGGAGAUGUUAGGCACACUUCUUUUUGGCAUGAUCUUUGGUACCGGGAGAACACCAUGGCUGAAAAUUAUGGCCCCCUCUACUCGCACUCUGUGGACAAACAUGCUUCAGAAGUUGAGAAAUCAAUUUGUGUCAAGGCUCUCGAUGAUGGCCGAAGAUCAGUUGCUCCAACUAGGGCUUUUACUCCAAGAUCAGAUCUUGACAUCACAAUUAGAUAUCAGGGACAUGAAUGGAGCAACAGACUGAUCAGUGUUCAGAUCAACAUUUUGACUGUCAAGAACAUGGCGGAUUUGCUGCUCCCACUGCAAAUUCCGAUCAAACACUACUGGGUCUUCUUCCUUCUAUGCUUUUGGGGCCUUUGGAACCAUCGACAUGAUGUGGUACUCCGUGGAAAAAUAACAUAUCUUCGCAGGUUGAUCGUGAGGUGCAUCGACGACGCUACUCUUUGGACUGAGCGGCUAAUCGUGGAGGAUAUGAAUGUUUUUUCAGCUUGGAAAGAAAUCAUCUCUUCCUCCCUUUGA
Molecule: long non-coding RNA, 665 nt
Filed under: Oryza sativa Indica Group (long-grained rice)
Lineage: Eukaryota; Viridiplantae; Streptophyta; Magnoliopsida; Poales; Poaceae
Description: lncRNA OsZS97_05G011960
Source: RNAcentral